This 301-nucleotide ribosomal RNA is filed under the name uncultured bacterium. RNAcentral's name for it is "partial 16S ribosomal RNA". It matches the Rfam family "Bacterial small subunit ribosomal RNA", at positions 509 to 807 of the family's 1533-position model. The record is from RNAcentral.
CAGCCGCCGCGGGAACACGGAGGGUGCAAGCGUUAAUCGGAAUUACUGGGCGUAAAGCGUGCGUAGGCGGUUCGUUAAGUCUGUUGUGAAAGCCCCGGGCUCAACCUGGGAAUGGCAAUGGAUACUGGCGAGCUAGAGUGUGUCAGAGGAUGGUGGAAUUCCCGGUGUAGCGGUGAAAUGCGUAGAGAUCGGGAGGAACAUCAGUGGCGAAGGCGGCCAUCUGGGACAACACUGACGCUGAAGCACGAAAGCGUGGGGAGCAAACAGGAUUAGAGACCCCUGUAGUCCCUGUCUCUUAUAC